CAGAUCCUGCAGAUGACAGAUCAGUGACAGUGUUUUUAAUAUCACUAAACAGCAUCGAGAGUCACUAUUAAGGGAUGUGUUUGAACAGAAGCAGAGCUCUGGGACGUGUGGACAGACUUUCACUGUAAUGAUGGACAUCCGCUCGUGGACAGAAGUAUAACCCCUGCUGGGCAUCGUGCCGGGGCUCGGGGGGGACCCGAAUCGUCCCCAUCCCUUCAUUCACACAACACUCACUCAUAUCGCGGAGAUCUGGCUGGGAUCGAACCAGCAACCUCUGAACCGUGAGGCAGUGCUCUUACCUGUGAGCCACAGAUCUCUUGUUUGAACACUUGAAGGAACUUAUAUUUCACUAUUCACCUGCAUGUGCUUUUACAAUAAACCAGUCAAAGCUAUCAGCUGUGUGAACACACCGAGGUAGGAUUUGAACCCAAGCCUCAAUCACAGUCUUAUCAGCCAAAAACAUGUGCUUAACCACUAACCCACUGUGGUUUUCUUGUUUUGUGCUUGGCUUUUGAGGCACUUUGUUGAAUUUAACAAUGACAAUUUAAAGUAAGCAAUAGUGAGAUUUGAUCUCAGGUCUUUUAGAUGAAAGCUCAGUGUUUUACCCACUGCACCACUGCAGCUGUUGAAUGCUUUGGACGUGGUUGUAUUGAGAGCUCUGUUGGAAAGGAUGACAAUCACAAGCAACAAUGGGAUUUGAACCAAAACUUUCAUGUAUGAGAGGCAAAUGCUUAAAUGCCUUAACAUAAUCAAUAGUGGGAUUUCAAUUCAGAUAUAUUUUAGGACAAGCAUUGAUUUACAUAAUGAAAGAUUCAUUACCAGUUGUGGGAUUUGAAAGCAGUAGUGAGGCUUGAACUCCAAAUUUAAAACUCAAGACUAUGCUUUAAUCCACUGUCUUCUUUUAAAA
Molecule: long non-coding RNA, 907 nt
Organism: Cyprinus carpio (common carp)
Lineage: Eukaryota; Metazoa; Chordata; Actinopteri; Cypriniformes; Cyprinidae
Exons: 3
Source: RefSeq, a predicted model, not a curated record